GACGAACGCUGGCGGCGUGCUUAACACAUGCCAGUCGAACGGAAAGGCCCUGCUUUUGUGGGGUGCUCGAGUGGCGAACGGGUGAGUAACACGUGAGUAACCUGCCCUUGACUUUGGGAUAACUUCAGGAAACUGGGGCUAAUACCGGAUAGGAGCUCCUGCUGCAUGGUGGGGGUUGGAAAGUUUCGGCGGUUGGGGAUGGACUCGCGGCUUAUCAGCUUGUUGGUGGGGUAGUGGCUUACCAAGGCUUUGACGGGUAGCCGGCCUGAGAGGGUGACCGGCAAGAGGGGGACGGGGAGACGGCCCGGACGCCGACGGGAGGCAGCAGGGGGGAAUAUGGCACAAGGGGGGGAGGCCUGAUGCAGCAACGCCGGGUGCGGGAUGGCGGCUUGGGGGUUGUAAACCGCUUUCCCCUGGGACGAAGCGUGAGGGACGGUAAGGGGAAAAGAAGCACCGGCUAACUACGUG
This 468-nucleotide ribosomal RNA is filed under the name uncultured bacterium. Its description in RNAcentral is "partial 16S ribosomal RNA". It matches the Rfam family "Bacterial small subunit ribosomal RNA", at positions 28 to 507 of the family's 1533-position model. The record is from RNAcentral.